Peromyscus maniculatus bairdii (prairie deer mouse) is the source of this 1873-nucleotide non-coding RNA. Lineage: Eukaryota; Metazoa; Chordata; Mammalia; Rodentia; Cricetidae. The record is from RefSeq and is a predicted model, not a curated record.
AGCACCUGGGAAUUAAACUUCUGAGAUGAGCCAAGAGUGUCAUCCCUUCCUUAACCCAAACUUCCUCUCCUAGGACUGCAGCAAAGGAAGAAUUUAGAAUGGAUGGGAAGCCUGAGAUAACAAAGAGGAUUUCCCUUUGAUUGUCAACUGUCAGAGCUGGGAUUCCCAGCCGUGGUCUGUUUCUGGACCCACCAUUCUUCCCUGACCUUCUGUUUUGUACAUCAUCCUAAAGGCCACGGCUGCUCUGAGAGAGUGGGGAUGACUCAAGAGAACGUGACCCCCAGUAUCUGGAAAGCAGGCCUCCAGCACGGCGGGGAGGAGGACAGGGGUGUGCAGGCCCUGCUGGCGUCCCAAGCCGCCAUCUUGAAUCAGCCACAUCGCUCAUCUGUGUGUUCCCAGUUACCAGUGUGAAACCAGACUCCAAGCACUGGAGGCUCGAUUGGUUGACUGUCUUGUUGGGUUGCGCAAAGACUGGCCCCAAGAGAGACAGGCCACCCCGAUUCCUGUGACUUAGAGCCUCGGUGGAUGCACCUGCUUUAAAUCUGUGGACUCCAUCUCCUGAAUGCACGAGGCUCGCUGGACUUGGACUCCCUGAUGAUGAAGGAUCUGGGUACUGGCUCAUGGACGUUUAUCCCAGAGAAAGGAAGACUCGGUUGGACACCAAUGCAAAUGUUGAUAGGAUCCUAAACCUAAAAGCAACCCAGAAGUCCUUCACCAGGUGAAUGGCUAACCUGACUGCCAUCCCUUCACACAAUAGAGUAAUAUUACUAGGCUCUCAAAAGGAUAAGCUGCUGGCACAGGUAGGCAGUUGGGCUAACCUCCAGCAAACUAUGCUGAACGGGUGGCACUCCUUUAAGACGGGACUUCAAGAUCAAACCGAGGGCCUCGGUGCCUGCCAGGCAAGCAACUCUGCCACUGAGCUACAUGGAGUCCCAGCCCUGAAAAUGAGCAGUCUCAAAAGGUCACGUGUGAGUCCAUUUAUAAUCACAAAAUAGAUAUCAACUCAUAGAAACAGAGACUAGGGAUGAGGAGUGGGAGGACAGUGAACGUAGCUUCACGAGGGCCUGGGAGGGACCGGAUGCUGGAAAUAGUCCGCAUCACAAUAAAUAGCAAUAACCCGGCUAUGACAGAGUGCUACAUAGUUUCAAAAGACCUUCUCCCUGGGAGGAUAAAAGCACAGGAAAAUUUGUAUAGUAUUUGUUACCACCUCGUGUAAAUCUACAAUUUUCUCUAAAUACAAACUGCAAUUAGCUCUGUAGAUCUUGGUCCUUACAGAGCCAGUCCUGGUCCUGAAGCAAUGGUUCUGUACCAUACAGGUUCAAGUUGGUAUAAGAUCUUCUUUGACUUAACAUUGUGUGGUCUUGGAAACAGGCCCCUUCUCCGGGUUUGAAUGCAAGCAAUGGAUUUACUUCCUCCAAGGCCCUGGAGGCCUUCUCUUGUUUUGUUUUGUCUGAGGAAGGGGUUCUAACUCAGAGAGUGGAGGAUGACUUUGGACUUCUUCUGGUUCCUCUGCCCAACCUCUUGAAUGCUGGGAUGACAGGCAUGAGGUACUAGGGGUUAAACCCAGGGUCUCCGGGGUGUGAGGCCAGCAUGCUACCAACGCAGCUACAUCCUAAGCCUUGCUGAAGUUAUUUUUAGCAUAGUAACAUCAAGCCGAUGGCUCUCCACAGAGGCUUUCCUCAACAGAGAGCACAUCUCUGUAAGACUCCAUGGGCUAUCCUUUUUUUGUGCGGUCUCACAUCCCGUCUUCCUUCCCAGGAGUCCCAAUCCCUGCCUGGCAGAAGGCAGCCAAGGCCUGAGAGAUGCUGAGUCCAGGAAGCCAGAGAAGGGUGACUGAAGGGUGCGGCUGUCUUUCUCCCCACCCCCCAUUCCC